RNAcentral lists this ribosomal RNA (440 nucleotides) under uncultured bacterium. RNAcentral's name for it is "partial 16S ribosomal RNA". It matches the Rfam family "Bacterial small subunit ribosomal RNA", at positions 338 to 795 of the family's 1533-position model. The record is from RNAcentral.
CCUACGGGAGGCUGCAGUGGGGAAUAUUGCACAAUGGGGGAAACCCUGAUGCAGCGACGCCGCGUGAGUGAAGACGUAUUUCGGUAUGUUAAGCUCUAUCAGCAGGGGAGCAAAUAACGGUACCUGAUUAGGAAGCCCCGGCUAAAUACGUGCCAGCAGCCGCGGUAAUACGUAGGGGGCAAGCGUUAUCCGGAUUUACUGGGUGUAAAGGGAGCGUAGACGGCAGCACAAGUCUGGAGGGAAAUGCCGGGGUUUAACCCCGGACCUGCUGUGGAAACUGUGCAGCUAGAGUGCAGGAGAGGUAAGUGGAAUGCGUAGUGUAGCGGUGAAAUGCGUAGAUAUUAGGAGGAACACCAGUGGCGAAGGCGGCUUACUGGACUGUAACUGACGUUGAGGCUCGAAAGCGUGGGGAGCAAACAGGAUUAGAUACCCUAGUAGUC